GAACUCCAAGGUGUGGUGAAGAUUAACAAAAGUUUGAAGAAAUAAGUGGAUGAGUUGCAGCACAUCUCUGUUCGUCUGCUCAAGGAGAACGAGCAGCUGAAAUGUGAGAAGUUGGGCUUGAGGCUUCGUUUGUUUAGAGUUAGGCCGAUUUCUACAAGUUGAGUUAUAUAGAUUAUCUCUUUGGUAGGUCAUCUAACUUCGAGUUUGCUAGGAAAACUUCGAAACCUUCUCUAUUUCCCUGGAAGGCUUGCCUUUACUUUUGAGGCCUCCAUUAGUGAAGUAGUCGGAAAGGUUGAUGCCCAAGCUAGAGAAGCUGGGGGUGAGGCGACGAAUGAUGUCGAUGCUGGGAGCGUUGCAGCUACUGAAGGUGUGACGGCCGAGUAGUCGUGAGAUGUCCAAGCUGCUGAAGGGUAGUUUUCUAGGUAACCUUUAGGAUUUUCUUUGUUUGCCUUGUUGCUUUUGUUUUGAUUGAACUUAUUUGGCCUUUGUUAGUCGUUUAUCAAUUUUGCUAGAAAAUUUAAUAAACUUGCUUCCUUCGCUUUUCUCCAUCUUCACUUCUUUAGUUCAUGCCUUAACCCUAGACUUUAUAGACCAGUGGCAAGCGUGCUGCUUUUCUAUAAGCAGACAUGCCCGCAUAGCCUAUGCAGUCGUAGGUUUGGUGUAGAAUUUUGCAAAGUUGUUAGCCAUAGGGUCGGUAGCCGGACGCCUUACUUACAGAAACAGACAAGGCAUCAUGACCACUAGGCUAUUAUCCUUGGCUUUCUCCAAUUCCGUAGGUUGGGUAACAAGUAUCAUGACACUUUAGGACUUG
This 811-nucleotide long non-coding RNA is filed under the name Malus domestica (apple). RNAcentral's name for it is "long non-coding RNA (MDOM_LNC005609)". The record is from RNAcentral. Lineage: Eukaryota; Viridiplantae; Streptophyta; Magnoliopsida; Rosales; Rosaceae.